Herpailurus yagouaroundi (jaguarundi) is the source of this 521-nucleotide long non-coding RNA. RefSeq lists it as uncharacterized. The record is from RefSeq and is a predicted model, not a curated record. NCBI's taxonomy places the organism in Eukaryota, Metazoa, Chordata, Mammalia, Carnivora, Felidae. The transcript has 3 exons.
CUGAGGUGCCUGCUUCUGGCUCCGGCUGCCCCUGCUCCUCCAGGCAGACCGGAGAGACCCUCCAGGAAUCCAGGAAUGAGGGGCAGGUUGAGAAGACACGAAUGGAUAAGAAAAAAACUCCACGACAGGCAGGGAAAGGGCCAAGGAGGCAAACGGACAAUACGCACAAGGAAAACCACAGAACCAGGCAUAUUCAUAAUCAAAGACAACAGUAAUAUGCAUCGGGGAUGUCUUCAAUUGAAUCUUCCUGAAGAGACCGAUCGGAGGCACAGCAGAGGUGAACAUGCAAAGCUGUUCAAGGGUACCUGGCUGGCUCCAUCGAAAGAGCAUGUGACUCCUGAUUUCUGGGCCGUGAGGUCCAGGCCCACGGUGGGUGUAGAGAUUACUCAAAUAAAUUAAAACUUAAAGUUGUUCAGGGCAGCAUUACUUACACUGGUGAGAAAGCAGAAAAAUACACAAACUGCAGCAAAGGAGAACAGCUAAAGAAAUUAUGGACAGAUUUACUAGGGAGUGAUACUUUA